GAUCAUGGCUCAGAUUGAACGCUGGCGGCAUGCUUUACACAUGCAAGUCGAACGGUAACAGGUUAAGCUGACGAGUGGCGAACGGGUGAGUAAUGCAUCGGAACGUGCCCAGUCUGGGGGAUAACGCAGCGAAAGCUGUGCUAAUACCGCAUACGAUCUAUGGAUGAAAGCGGGGGAUCGCAAGACCUCGCGCGAUUGGAGCGGCCGAUGUCAGAUUAGCUAGUUGGUGGGGUAAAGGCCCACCAAGGCGACGAUCUGUAGCUGGUCUGAGAGGACGACCAGCCACACUGGGACUGAGACACGGCCCAGACUCCUACGGGAGGCAGCAGUGGGGAAUCUUAGACAAUGGGGGAAACCCUGAUCUAGCCAUGCCGCGUGAUCGAUGAAGGCCUUAGGGUUGUAAAGAUCUUUCAGAUGGGAAGAUAAUGACGGUACCAUCAGAAGAAGCCCCGGCUAACUCCGUG
Molecule: ribosomal RNA, 464 nt
Filed under: uncultured bacterium
Lineage: Bacteria
Description: bacterial SSU rRNA
Rfam family: Bacterial small subunit ribosomal RNA
Source: RNAcentral